Molecule: ribosomal RNA, 1375 nt
Filed under: uncultured bacterium
Lineage: Bacteria
Description: bacterial SSU rRNA
Rfam family: Bacterial small subunit ribosomal RNA
Source: RNAcentral
AGAGUUUGAUCCUGGCUCAGGAUGAACGCUGGCGGCGUGCCUAACACAUGCAAGUCGAACGAUUAACCCAUUCUUCGGAAUGGUUAUAGAGUGGCGAACUGGUGAGUAACACGUAACUAACCUGCCUUGUACUUCGGGAUAACUUAAAGAAAUUUCUGCUAAUACCGAAUAAUCUUGAGAUACCGCAUGGUAACUCAAGCAGAGCGUUAUGUAGCGGUGCAAGAUGGAGUUGCGGCCAAUUAGAUAGUUGGUGGGGUAACGGCCUACCAAGUCGACGAUGGGUAGCUGAACUGAGAGGUUGAUCGGCCACAUUGGGACUGAGAUACGGCCCAGACUCCUACGGGAGGCAGCAGUGGGGAAUAUUGCGCAAUGGAGGCAACUCUGACGCAGCAACGCCGUGUGCAGGAUGACGGCCUUCGGGUUGUAAACUGCUUUCAGUAGGGAAGAAGUAAUUGACGGUACCUACACAAGAAGCUCCGGCUAACUACGUGCCAGCAGCCGCGGUAACACGUAGGGAGCAAGCGUUAUCCGGAUUCAUUGGGCGUAAAGCGCGCGCAGGCGGGUGAUUAAGCGGAUCUUUUAACCCGAGGGCUCAACCCCCGGUCGGGAUCCGAACUGGUCAUCUUGAGUGCGGUAGGGGCAGGCGGAAUUCCAUGUGUAGCGGUGAAAUGCGCAGAUAUAUGGAAGAACACCGAUGGCGAAGGCGGCCUGCUGGGCCGACACUGACGCUCAGGCGCGAAAGCUAGGGGAGCAAACAGGAUUAGAUACCCUGGUAGUCCUAGCCGUAAACGAUGGGCACUAGGUGUGGGGAGCAAAUGCUUUCCGCGCCGGCGCUAACGCAUUAAGUGCCCCGCCUGGGGAGUACGACCGCAAGGUUAAAACUCAAAGGAAUUGACGGGGACCCGCACAAGCAGCGGAGCAUGUGGCUUAAUUCGAAGCAACGCGAAGAACCUUACCAGGGCUUGACAUAUAAGUGUAGGUGUAGAGAUACACCGACUUAAGUGAGCUUAUACAGGUGGUGCAUGGCUGUCGUCAGCUCGUGUCGUGAGAUGUUGGGUUAAGUCCCGCAACGAGCGCAACCCUUGUUAUAUAUUACCAGCAUUUAGUUGGGGACUCAUAUGAGACUGCCGACGUUAAGUCGGAGGAAGGUGGGGACGACGUCAAGUCAUCAUGCCCCUUAUGUCCUGGGCUGCACACGUGCUACAAUGGUUGGUACAGAGAGCUGCCAGUCCGCGAGGACGAGCGAAUCUCCCAAAGCCAGCCUCAGUUCGGAUCGCAGGCUGAAACCCGCCUGCGUGAAGUCGGAGUUGCUAGUAAUCGCGAAUCAGCACGUCGCGGUGAAUGCGUUCCCGGGUCUUGUACACACCGCCCGUCA